Molecule: ribosomal RNA, 450 nt
Filed under: Triticum aestivum (bread wheat)
Lineage: Eukaryota; Viridiplantae; Streptophyta; Magnoliopsida; Poales; Poaceae
Description: partial small subunit ribosomal RNA
Source: RNAcentral
AUGGCGGCGACGGUGCGGUUCGGGCUCCUGGUGGCGAUGUUCCAGGCCAUGACGCGGGACCGCACGUCCGCGAAGAAGCGGGGCCGCCUCCGCACGUUCCUCGACCGCGCCUACGGGGCCAGCGGCAGGGACGACUACUUCAGCGCGCUCCGCCUCAUCCUCCCGUCCCUCGACCGCGAGCGCGGCUCCUACGGCCUCAAGGAGGCCGCCCUCGCCGCCGCCCUCGUCGAAGCGCUCGGCAUCGCCAAGGACUCCCCCGACGCCGUCCGGCUCACCAACUGGCGCCGCGGCGGCGGCGGCCGCAACGCGGGCAACUUCUCCCUCGUAGCCGCCGAGGUACAGUCGGGACCAUUUUUUCCCCACCAUUCAGCAUUGUCAUUCUCGGUAAUCACUACGUCGUUUCGCUGUCGAUGGAUUGCUGUGUGGGGUUCGAUGGAUUGUGCCAACUGA